UUUGAUAUCGGUGUGCAAGAAAUU
RNAcentral lists this non-coding RNA (24 nucleotides) under Mus musculus (house mouse). Lineage: Eukaryota; Metazoa; Chordata; Mammalia; Rodentia; Muridae. The record is from RNAcentral.